CGCAGAGAUCGAGUGGUGGUCCGCUCAUCAGACUCAUGAUCUGACAAAAGGGGUUCGAUUCCCUACUCUGCUU
This 73-nucleotide transfer RNA is filed under the name Hemiarma marina. Its description in RNAcentral is "tRNA-Met". It matches the Rfam family "tRNA". From Rfam's summary of the family: Transfer RNA (tRNA) molecules are approximately 80 nucleotides in length. Lineage: Eukaryota; Cryptophyceae; Goniomonadida; Goniomonadaceae. The record is from RNAcentral.